CUUUAUACGAUUUGGCCCAACCAAAAAAACCCUAGAAUAGGCGCAGCGCAUUGCGAAAUUCGCGUUCCUUCCGUUACUACUAACCCUAGACACAAACCUUAUAUAUACUCUCACACUUCCCUCACUUCUCAUCAGCCAGCAGCCUUCCUCGGUACCAACGCCUGAGCAGCCUUCCUGCAAAUUUUGUUAUUUUUCACAGGAAAUUUAUGUAAAGUGAUGUUGUGGAUUCUCGAUUUUGGAUGAUGUCAAGAAUAGUUUUUGAUUUCAAGUUGAUAAUAGUCUCCAAAUUUUAUGAAGAUUUCGGUUCCUUUUGUUGGCACAUGUAAAUCAUAUUAUGUAAAUUGUAAUUUCUUGAUACAUGAUUUAAUUAUUUGUUUGUAUAUGUUCUAAAUCUAUACAAACAAUAAAUUGAUAUGUAAAUUCUUUUUAUUAUGUUAA
This is a long non-coding RNA of Vicia villosa (hairy vetch), 438 nucleotides long. RefSeq lists it as uncharacterized. The record is from RefSeq and is a predicted model, not a curated record. NCBI's taxonomy places the organism in Eukaryota, Viridiplantae, Streptophyta, Magnoliopsida, Fabales, Fabaceae. The transcript has 2 exons.